RNAcentral lists this ribosomal RNA (809 nucleotides) under uncultured Bacillota bacterium. Its description in RNAcentral is "bacterial SSU rRNA". It matches the Rfam family "Bacterial small subunit ribosomal RNA", at positions 1 to 799 of the family's 1533-position model. Lineage: Bacteria; Bacillati; Bacillota. The record is from RNAcentral.
AGGAGAGUUUGAUCCUGGCUCAGGAUGAACGCUGGCGGCGUGCUUAACACAUGCAAGUCGAACGGAACUUUUCUCCCGAAGAAGCGGAGUGCUUGCACAAAGUAGAUUCAUUUGAAAAGUUUAGUGGCGGACGGGUGAGUAACGCGUGGGUAACCUGCCUUACACAGGGGGACAACAGUUGGAAACGACUGCUAAUACCGCAUAAGCGCACAGUACCGCAUGGUACAGUGUGAAAAACUCCGGUGGUGUAAGAUGGACCCGCGUCUGAUUAGCUAGUUGGUGAGGUAACGGCCCACCAAGGCGACGAUCAGUAGCCGGCCUGAGAGGGUGAACGGCCACAUUGGGACUGAGACACGGCCCAAACUCCUACGGGAGGCAGCAGUGGGGAAUAUUGGACAAUGGGGGAAACCCUGAUCCAGCGACGCCGCGUGAGUGAAGAAGUAUUUCGGUAUGUAAAGCUCUAUCAGCAAGGAAGAAAAUGACGGUACUUGACUAAGAAGCCCCGGCUAACUACGUGCCAGCAGCCGCGGUAAUACGUAGGGGGCAAGCGUUAUCCGGAUUUACUGGGUGUAAAGGGAGCGUAGACGGUUUGGCAAGUCUGAAGUGAAAGCCCAGGGCUUAACCCUGGGACUGCUUUGGAAACUGUUAAACUAGAGUGCAGGAGAGGUAAGUGGAAUUCCUAGUGUAGCGGUGAAAUGCGUAGAUAUUAGGAGGAACACCAGUGGCGAAGGCGGCUUACUGGACUGUAACUGACGUUGAGGCUCGAAAGCGUGGGGAGCAAACAGGAUUAGAUACCCUGGUAGUCCCCU